GGCCACACACACACACAUUCAUAAAACAGUCACCUCACAUGCCAUGCACACACACUCAUAAAACAGUCACCCUACAGGCCACACACACACACAUUCAUAAAAUAGUUGCCCCAUAUGCCACACACACAUCACACACACACUCAGUCACCCCCACACACCACACAUACACAAACACACACAUAAAAUAGUCACCCCACAGGCCACACACACAUAAAAUAGCCACCCCACAGGACACACACACAUAUAAAAGUCACCCCACAGGACACAGACACACAUGCGUAAAAUAGUCACCCCAUAUGCACCACACACACACACUCUCUCUCUCUGUCACUCCACACACCACACACACACCCACACCCACUGUCAUAAAAUAAUCUCCCCACACCACACACCCUCAUACAAAUGACCCCACAUACCACAUAUACACAUAAAUAGUCACCCCACUCACACACUCAUAAGUCACCCACACACCACACACACACGCACACCCAUAGUCACCCCACACACCACUCACACACAUGCUCAGUCACCCCACACAUUCAUAAAAGUCACCCCACACGCCACACAUACACACACACACGCAUAAGAUAGUCAUCCCACACCCCACACACACUCAUAGUCACCUCACACGUCACACACACACUCAUAACAGUCACCCCACAUACCACACACACAUGCAUAGUCACCCCACAUGCCACACACACUCAUAAAAUAGUCACCACACAUGCCACGCACACUCAUAAAAUAGUCACCUCACACACCACACACAGACACACCAGUCACCUCACCACACUCAUAAAAUAGUCACCCCACACAACAGUCACACUCACUCACACAUUCUCACACGCACUCUCACACAUUCACUCUUACACACAUUCUCACACACAUUCUCACACGCACACACACUCUCACACUCACACACCCCACAUUCUUUUCCACCUUUCUCCACAGACGAGGGACAGAGGCCUGGG
Molecule: long non-coding RNA, 971 nt
Filed under: Pan troglodytes (chimpanzee)
Lineage: Eukaryota; Metazoa; Chordata; Mammalia; Primates; Hominidae
Description: long non-coding RNA NONPTRT006407
Source: RNAcentral